AUGGCCGAGGAAGAGGCGUGCAUGUUCGCGCUGCAGCUGGCCACGUCGGCGAUCCUGCCCAUGACGCUCCGGACUUGCAUCGAGCUGGGCCUGCUGGAGACCCUUGCGGGCGCCGGCGGGAAACCGCUCACUCCGGAGGAGGUGGCCGCGAAGCUCCCGUCCAAUUCCAACCCGGAGGCGGCGGCCAUGGUGGAUCGUUUGCUCCGGGUGCUGGCCGCAUACAAGGUUGUGUCCUGCGUGGUGGAGGAGUGCGAGGACGGCGGCCUCUCCCGCCGGUACGGCGCCGAGCCGGUGUGCAAGUGGCUCACCGCCAACGAGGACGGCGUGUCCAUGGCUCCGUUCUGCCUCCUGGCCCAGGACAGGCUCUUCAUGGAGGCCUGGUGCCACAUGAAGGAGGCGGUCCUAGAGGGUGGCAGCGCCUUCACCAAGGCGUUCGGGUCGUCGUGGUUCGAGCAUGCCGCCACGGAUGCUCGCUUCAACCGCGUCUUCAACGAGGCCAUGAAGCAGCAUUCCGUCAUCAUCACCAAGAAGCUCCUUGAGCUGUACCCGGGUUUCGAGGGCAUCGGCACCCUCGUGGACGUCGCCGGCGGCCUCGGCGCCGUCCUCCACUCCAUCACCACCAAGUACCCGAGCAUCAAGGGGGUCAACUUCGAUCUGCCCCAUGUAAUCUCGGAGGCACAGCCUUACCCUGGCGUGGAGCAUGUCGGCGGCGACAUGUUCCAGAUGGUGCCCUCCGGCGACGCCAUCCUCAUGAAGUGGAUCCUCAACUGCUUUAGCGACCAGGAAUGUGCCAAGCUGCUCAAGAACUGCUACGACGCAUUGCCCGCCCAUGGCAAGGUGAUCAACGUGGAGUGCAUCCUGCCGGCGAAGCCGGCCGCGACCAACAGCGCGCAGGGGUUAAUCAGCACCGACGUGUGUCUGCUGGCCUACAGCCCGGGUGGCAAGGAAAGGUACCUGAGGGACUUAGAGAAGCUCGCCAAGGGUGCUGGAUUCACCGGCGUCAAGGCCACAUACAUCUAUGCUGACUUUUGGGCUAUGGAGUAUACCAAGUACUAG
Molecule: ribosomal RNA, 1056 nt
Filed under: Triticum aestivum (bread wheat)
Lineage: Eukaryota; Viridiplantae; Streptophyta; Magnoliopsida; Poales; Poaceae
Description: partial small subunit ribosomal RNA
Source: RNAcentral